This 88-nucleotide transfer RNA is filed under the name Anaerosinus gibii. RNAcentral describes it as "Selenomonadaceae bacterium ICN-92133 tRNA-Ser". It matches the Rfam family "tRNA". From Rfam's summary of the family: Transfer RNA (tRNA) molecules are approximately 80 nucleotides in length. Lineage: Bacteria; Bacillati; Bacillota; Negativicutes; Selenomonadales; Sporomusaceae. The record is from RNAcentral.
GGAGAGGUGUCCGAGUGGUCGAAGGUGAUUGACUCGAAAUCAAUUGUACCGCAAGGUACCGAGGGUUCGAAUCCCUCCCUCUCUGCCA